CUCAGAUUGAACGCUGGCGGCAGGCCUAACACAUGCAAGUCGAGCGGAAACGACAACAUUGACUCUUCGGAGGGUUUGUUGGGCGUCGAGCGGCGGACGGGUGAGUAAUGCCUAGGAAAUUGCCUUGAUGUGGGGAUAACCAUUGGAAACGAUGGCUAAUACCGCAUAAUGCCUACGGGCCAAAGAGGGGGACCUUCGGGCCUCUCGCGUCAAGAUAUGCCUAGGUGGGAUUAGCUAGUUGGUGAGGUAAUGGCUCACCAAGGCGACGAUCCCUAGCUGGUCUGAGAGGAUGAUCAGCCACACUGGAACUGAGACACGGUCCAGACUCCUACGGGAGGCAGCAGUGGGGAAUAUUGCACAAUGGGCGCAAGCCUGAUGCAGCCAUGCCGCGUGUAUGAAGAAGGCCUUCGGGUUGUAAAGUACUUUCAGUUGUGAGGAAGGGGUUAACGUUAAUAGCGUUAUCUCUUGCGUUAAGCAACAGAAUUG
This 486-nucleotide ribosomal RNA is filed under the name uncultured bacterium. Its description in RNAcentral is "bacterial SSU rRNA". It matches the Rfam family "Bacterial small subunit ribosomal RNA", at positions 23 to 489 of the family's 1533-position model. The record is from RNAcentral.